This 72-nucleotide transfer RNA is filed under the name Cavia porcellus (domestic guinea pig). It matches the Rfam family "tRNA". From Rfam's summary of the family: Transfer RNA (tRNA) molecules are approximately 80 nucleotides in length. The record is from Rfam by way of RNAcentral. Lineage: Eukaryota; Metazoa; Chordata; Mammalia; Rodentia; Caviidae.
GGGGAUAUAGCUCAGUGGCAUGGUGCCUGUCUGGCAAACAUGAGGUCCUGGGUUUGAUUCCUAGCACCACUU